RNAcentral lists this ribosomal RNA (490 nucleotides) under Margarya oxytropoides. RNAcentral's name for it is "partial 16S ribosomal RNA". It matches the Rfam family "Bacterial large subunit ribosomal RNA", at positions 1854 to 2608 of the family's 2925-position model. Lineage: Eukaryota; Metazoa; Mollusca; Gastropoda; Architaenioglossa; Viviparidae. The record is from RNAcentral.
CGACCUGCCCGGUGAAUAUUUAUUUAAACGGCCGCGGUAUUUUGACCGUGCAAAGGUAGCAUAAUCAGUUGUCUUAUAAUUGAAGACUGGAAUGAAUGGUUAAACGAAAUUAGAGCUGUUUCAUUUGUAUUUAUUAGAAAUUGGCUUUUAAAUGAAGAGAUUUAAAUUUGAUUAAGGGACAAGAAGACCCUAUUGAGCUUUAAAUAAUUUUAAGGGUUAAAGUUAUUAUAAAGAUCUAUGAUCUUUAGUAUUUUUUUAGUUGGGGCGACUAAGGAACAGGCGAAGCUUCCUUUAUUUAUUUAAUUGAUAGAUUUUGAUCCUGUAUUACUGAUUAAGAGAAAUAGUUACCAUAGGGAUAACAGCAUAAUCUUCUUGGAGAGUUCUUAUUAAAAAGGGGGGUUGUGACCUCGAUGUUGGACUAAAAUAUCCUAAGGGUGUAGAAGCUUUUAAGGGUUGGUCUGUUCGACCAUUAAAAUUUUACGUGAUCUGA